GAUGAACGCUGGCGGCGCGCCUAACACAUGCAAGUCGAACGAAGCACCUUACCUGAUUCUUCGGAUGAAGGUCUGGUGACUGAGUGGCGGACGGGUGAGUAACGCGUGGGUAACCUGCCCUGUACAGGGGGAUAACAGUUGGAAACGGCUGCUAAUACCGCAUAAGCGCACGAGAGGACAUCCUCUUGUGUGAAAAACUCCGGUGGUACAGGAUGGGCCCGCGUCUGAUUAGCUGGUUGGCAGGGUAACGGCCUACCAAGGCGACGAUUAGUAGCCGGUCUGAGAGGAUGAACGGCCACAUUGGAACUGAGACACGGUCCAAACUCCUACGGGAGGCAGCAGUGGGGAAUAUUGCACAAUGGGGGAGACCCUGAUGCAGCAACGCCGCGUGAGUGAAGAAGUAUUUCGGUAUGUAAAGCUCUAUCAGCAGGGAAGAUAAUGACGGUACCUGACUAAGAAGCUCCGGCUAAAUACGUGCCAGCCGCCGCAGUAA
Molecule: ribosomal RNA, 493 nt
Filed under: uncultured bacterium
Lineage: Bacteria
Description: partial 16S ribosomal RNA
Rfam family: Bacterial small subunit ribosomal RNA
Source: RNAcentral